This 504-nucleotide ribosomal RNA is filed under the name Triticum aestivum (bread wheat). RNAcentral describes it as "partial small subunit ribosomal RNA". The record is from RNAcentral. Lineage: Eukaryota; Viridiplantae; Streptophyta; Magnoliopsida; Poales; Poaceae.
AUGGCGACGGCGGCAGCAUCUCGGCCCAGCGGCCCUGUCCUUCUGAGCCCCUUCCCCAACUACCAAUCCGCCUCGCUCUCCCGCGUCAAGCUCUCCGCCGGUGGCUCGCCGGUCAAGUCCAUCAGCGCCCUGUCUCCCCCCUCCUCCCCCUCGGCCGCCACCAAGAUCCGUCGGUCCUGCAUGUGCUCCCCGACGAACCACCCGGGCUCGUUCCGUUGCAGCCUCCACAAGGAGCGCAAGCAGGAUGCGGUCCCGGCCGUCAGCAGCAAGCAAGCCUCCCCGCCUUCGCCGCCGCCCAUCGGCAGCGGCCGCUCUAGGCGCAUGGUAAACGUGCUGGCGCAGCGCGUCCCCAUGGGGAGCGGGCACUGGGCACGCAGAGCGCUGGCGCCGUCUCCCUCGGUACAGCAGCUUCAGCAGAGGAAGCGCGCGGACCGGUUUCGCGCCGGACCCAGCCGGCUCUCCGGCGUCUCCAUGGCCGGACGCCGCGCAGGCGGCAGCCAGUAA